RNAcentral lists this ribosomal RNA (500 nucleotides) under uncultured bacterium. RNAcentral's name for it is "partial 16S ribosomal RNA". It matches the Rfam family "Bacterial small subunit ribosomal RNA", at positions 28 to 523 of the family's 1533-position model. The record is from RNAcentral.
GAUGAACGCUAGCGGCAAGCUUAAUACAUGCAAGUCGAGGGGCAGCACAGGUAGCAAUACUGGGUGGCGACCGGCAAACGGGUGCGGAACACGUACACAACUUACCUUAGAGUGGGGGAUAGCCCAGGGAAACUUGGAUUAAUACCCCAUAAAACAGGGGGCCCGCAUGGGCAUAUUGUUAAAGAUUUAUCGCUUUAAGAUGGGUGUACGUAUGAUUAGGUAGUUGGUAGGGUAAAGGCCUACCAAGCCGACGAUCAUUAACUGGUGUGAGAGCACGACCAGUCACACGGGCACUGAGACACGGGCCCGACUCCUACGGGAGGCAGCAGUAAGGAAUAUUGGUCAAUGGACGGAAGUCUGAACCAGCCAUGCCGCGUGAAGGAUGAAGGUCCUCUGGAUUGUAAACUUCUUUUAUAGGGGGCGAAAAAGGGCCAUUCUUGGUCAACUGACGGUACCCUAUGAAUAAGCACCGGCUAACUCCGUGCCAGCAGCCGCAGUAA